CACGUAGUUAGUCGUGACUUUCUGGUUGGAUACCGUCACUGCGUGAACAGUUACUCUCACGCACGUUCUUCUCCAACAACAGAGCUUUACGAGCCGAAACCCUUCUUCACUCACGCGGUGUUGCUCCAUCAGGCUUGCGCCCAUUGUGGAAGAUUCCCUACUGCUGCCUCCCGUAGGAGUAUGGACCGUGUCUCAGUUCCAUUGUGGCCGAUCAGUCUCUCAACUCGGCUAUGCAUCAUCGCCUUGGUAAGCCGUUACCUUACCAACUAGCUAAUGCACCGCAGGUCCAUCCCAGAGUGAUAGCCAAAGCCAUCUUUCAAACAAAGCCAUGUGUCUUUGUGUUAUGCGGUAUUAGCAUCUGUUUCCAAAUGUUACUCCCCCGCUCCGAGGCAGGUUACCUACGUCGUUACUCCACCCGUCCGCCACUCACGUGGUGACUCCGAACGUCAAUCGAGGUCGACAACGCCACCGAUACCUAAAGUUUACGGUU
RNAcentral lists this ribosomal RNA (490 nucleotides) under uncultured Lactobacillaceae bacterium. RNAcentral's name for it is "partial 16S ribosomal RNA". The record is from RNAcentral. Lineage: Bacteria; Bacillati; Bacillota; Bacilli; Lactobacillales; Lactobacillaceae.